GGAUAGAACUGACGCUCAGGCACGAAAGCGUGGGUAGCNNNNAGGAUUAGAUACCCUGGUAGUCCACGCCCUAAACGAUGUCUACUUGCUGUUGGGGGUAAAACCUAAGUAGCGAAGCUAACGCGAGAAGUAGACCGCCUGGGGAGUACGGUCGCAAGAUUAAAACUCAAAGGAAUUGACGGGGACCCGCACAAGCGGUGGAUGAUGCGGAUUAAUUCGAUGCAACGCGAAAAACCUUACCUGCUCUUGACAUGUUAGAAAUCCUGCAGAGAUGUGGGAGUGCCUUCGGGAAUCUAAACACAGGUGCUGCAUGGCUGUCGUCAGCUCGUGUCGUGAGAUGUUGUCUUAAGUGACGCAACGAGCGCAACCCUUGUCAUUAGUUGCCAUCAUUAAGUUGGGCACUCUAAUGAUACUGCCGGUGAUAAACCGGAGGAAGGUGGGGAUGACGUCAAGUCCUCAUGGCCCUUAUGAGCAGGGCUUCACGCGUCAUACAAUGGUCGGUACAAACGGUUGCGAAGCAGUGAUGUGGAGCUAAUCCGAGAAAGCCGAUCACAGUCCGGAUUGUAGUCUGCAACUCGACUACAUGAAGUCGGAAUCGCUAGUAAUCGCAGAUCAGCAUGCUGCGGUGAAUACGUUCCCGGGUCUUGUACACACCGCCCGUCACACCAUGGGAGUGGAGGAUACCAGAAGUUGUUAGGCUAACCGCAAGGAGGCCGAUUACCACGGUAUGUUUCAUGACUGGGGUGAAGUCGUAACAAGGUAACCAAGGGCGAA
This 774-nucleotide ribosomal RNA is filed under the name uncultured bacterium. RNAcentral's name for it is "bacterial SSU rRNA". It matches the Rfam family "Bacterial small subunit ribosomal RNA", at positions 732 to 1510 of the family's 1533-position model. The record is from RNAcentral.